AGGGAAUAUUGGACAAUGGAGGAAACUCUGAUCCAGCCAUGCCGCGUGAUAGAUGAAGGCCCUCUGGGUUGUAAAUAUCUUUUAUCUGGGAAGAAACACUCCUAUUCUUAGGAACUUGACGGUACCAGAGGAAUAAGCACCGGCUAACUCCGUGCCAGCAGCCGCGGUAAUACGGAGGGUGCAAGCGUUAUCCGGAUUUAUUGGGUUUAAAGGGUGCGUAGGCGGUUUGAUAAGUCAGCGGUGAAAUAUUUCAGCUUAACUGGAAGGGUGCCGUUGAUACUGUCGAGCUUGAAUUUAGUUGCUGUGGGUGGAAUGUGUGGUGUAGCGGUGAAAUGCAUAGAUAUCACACAGAAUAUCGAUUGCGAAGGCAGCUCACAAAGCUAAUAUUGACGCUGAUGCACGAAAGUGUGGGGAUCAAAC
Molecule: ribosomal RNA, 420 nt
Filed under: uncultured bacterium
Lineage: Bacteria
Description: bacterial SSU rRNA
Rfam family: Bacterial small subunit ribosomal RNA
Source: RNAcentral